GGCGUACUCCAGAGUAAGUUUCGAGAUCAGUGGGGCUACCGGGAGUUGACGAGUGACAUGCGAUGACGAGCCGAUGACAGGUCAUCGGUUCAAGAUUAAACAAGAACGAGAACAUUUUCAAACAAAAAACCGAAAACAAAAUGUCAACUUUCCUUGCUAUUACCAAGUCUAUUUUAUCCUUGGCUUUGAUGCUAUUUAGAUAUGCAUUUUACCGUGCUAUUUCGUCCCUUUUAACCGGCCUGAUACUGUUAUUUAUGGCUAUUUUAAUGUUCGUUACAUUCUACCAAGCCUACAUGCCCGAAGUGUCCCAUGUGAAGCCAGUAUAUCUUCAAUUCAGGUAGGUAAAACAUAAACAAAACUACAUAUUCCAUUUCUUUAAUGUUCAAACUCGAAAGCAGUGAUUUGAGACAAUGUAGUUUUGUUUAUACAGUUCAGAUUGCCACGGGCAGACGACGGCUUUAUGUACAUAUCCCGAAGCAAGCGUGUUUUUCACUCCAUCGAACAAAGCGAACGAAGAAAGGGUUAGUUUUAGAGCUAUAUUAUUAUAAAUUUGUAUCAAAAUGGUUUCUUUCACACUUUAAGUUUGUAAUACACAACCAGACUAUAUAAUUUCGGAUUAAGUCAAGCUCCUACAAUUAGGCUCUUAAACUAUCGUGUUUGUGUUUGAAUUUUGGUGAAAAAUAUACGCUGUUUUUCCCGCCAAAAGACCAAAUGUUUGUAUUUUACACAUUUAAAGUUUCGAGCAUGUUUUAAGAUUUAGAAUGAUAGAAAAAGCUUCAAUAUUAAGAGUACGAUAGUCGGCUACGCUUAAAUUUGAGAACGAAGUUAAUUUGCAUGUCAUUUGUAAACAUAAUUAAAUAUUCAAGUGAAACACGAAUUCGCUGAUACGGAAAAUUAAUGCAUAUAGGCACAGCAUCUUUAAAACGCUAUAUAACGCUUCGAUAAUAUCGUUUUCAUGCUGGACUUUUAAUUUUUUGUGGAUUUUUCCAGAUGUUAAUGCGAGGUCAAGCGUACAAAGUUUUUCUAGAUCUUGAAAUGCCUCCAUCACCAACGAAUGAAAAGCUGGGUAAGU
Molecule: non-coding RNA, 1072 nt
Organism: Paramuricea clavata
Lineage: Eukaryota; Metazoa; Cnidaria; Anthozoa; Malacalcyonacea; Plexauridae
Source: the annotation of a GenBank genome assembly